RNAcentral lists this ribosomal RNA (473 nucleotides) under uncultured bacterium. Its description in RNAcentral is "bacterial SSU rRNA". It matches the Rfam family "Bacterial small subunit ribosomal RNA", at positions 329 to 794 of the family's 1533-position model. The record is from RNAcentral.
UUCCAGACUCCUACGGGAGGCAGCCGUGGGGAAUAUUGCACAAUGGGCGCACGCCUGAUGCAGCCCUUCCUCGUGUAUGCAGCAGGCCUUCGGGUUGUCCAGUACUUUCAUCUUGGAGGAAGGUGUUGAGGUUAAUCCCUUCAGCAAUUUCCGUUCCCCGCAGCCGCCUCACCGGCUCCCUCCGUGCCAGCCGCCGCGGUAAUACUGAGUUUGCAAGCGUUCAUCGGAAGUACUGGGCGUAAAGCGCACGCAGGCGGGCUGGCAAGUCGGAGGGGAAAUCCCCGGGCGAAACCUGGGAACUGCAUUCGAAACUGGCAGGCUGGAGUCUUGUAGAGGGGGGUAGAAUUCCAGGUGUAGCGGUGAAAUGCGUAGAGAGCGGGAGGAAUACCGGUGGCGAAGGCGGCCCCCUGGACAAAGACUGACGCUCAGGUGCGAAAGCGUGGGGAGCAAACAGGAUUAGAUACCCCCGUAAU